RNAcentral lists this ribosomal RNA (468 nucleotides) under uncultured bacterium. Its description in RNAcentral is "partial 16S ribosomal RNA". It matches the Rfam family "Bacterial small subunit ribosomal RNA", at positions 28 to 507 of the family's 1533-position model. The record is from RNAcentral.
GACGAACGCUGGCGGCGUGCUUAACACAUGCAAGUCGAACGGAAAGGCCCUGCUUUUGUGGGGUGCUCGAGGGGCGAAGGGGUGAGUAACACGUGAGUAACCUGCCCUUGACUUUGGGAUAACUUCAGGAAACUGGGGCUAAUAUCGGAUAGGAGCUCCUGCUGCAUGGUGGGGGUUGGAAAGUUUCGGCGGUUGGGGAUGGACUCGCGGCUUAUCAGCUUGUUGGUGGGGUAGUGGAUUACCAAGGCUUUGACCGGUAGCCGGCCUGAGAGGGUGACCGGCGACAAUGCGACUGAGAGACGGACCAGACUCGUAUGGGAGGCAGCAGUGGGGAAUAUUGCACAACGGGCGCGAGCCUGAUGCAGCGACGCCGCGUGCGGGAUGACGGCCUUCGGGUUGUGAACCGCUUUCGCCUGUGACGAAGCGGGAGUGACGGUAAUGGGUAAAGAAGCACCGGCUAACUACGUG